This is a long non-coding RNA of Apis dorsata (giant honeybee), 1047 nucleotides long. RefSeq lists it as uncharacterized. NCBI's taxonomy places the organism in Eukaryota, Metazoa, Arthropoda, Insecta, Hymenoptera, Apidae. The record is from RefSeq and is a predicted model, not a curated record. The transcript is spliced from 2 exons.
AUACAUACAAAAAAGACUUGUCUUAAAAUGUGCUCGUAACUCGGCAAAUCAUUUUUCAAGUCUCCACAUCUAUAGUAACUAGCUAGGAGAGACAGAUAAUCCCGAUAUAGUUAUAUAUACCACGAAGCACAACGCGUUUAUUUGUGCGCGGUCGCUAGGCCACGUCCAUGUACGCGCAUGCGCUGUGUCGAUUCAGCUAUACCGCGAUUCCAUUUACGGUAAAACGCGACUUGUUAGCGCGCGCACGAAUGAUAAUUAGCUAGCCCGUACAAAGCCGGCUACGUCGUCUGAAUCUCUCGAUACGUUCUUGUAAUAAGGGGAAACUAAAAAGAAGAAAGAGAAGGAAAGCCCAGAAGGACAGGAGAAAAGCUGGAUUAUGUUCGUUUCCGUGUCGAGGUCACAGGUUCGUUCUUUUCUCUGGAAAUCGGAACAGUGUUCGAUGUUUCGAAUUCAUUUGUCUCGGGACCAACUUGUUAACCUUUUUUUCGUUGGCAUAGUUUUCACCGCCAUUCUGUCCAUCAACGUCCGUUUUUAAAACCUCUAUUAUCGAGAAUCUAUGCAAGUGGGAAACGUAGCGUAUGCGCAAUGGCCGUUCAUAUUACCUCUGAAAGUGCUGUUGUAUUUUAUGAACGCAUGAUUUGUAGCCUCUGAUGAUUAUCAAAGCGUGUGUACGCGAUUUUCCAUAGAAAAUUAAUUAAAAUCCUCGACAUGAUGGAAAAAACUGAGCACGAGUAUAAUCCGCUGGGAACAUGUAGAGGGUUGGACGACGGGCUCGAAAUUAAUUUGUCUGUUCCCAGUAUCAAUUUCGAGUAUCAUAGCUGCGAUCCAAGCGGCAAUAUCAAUUGGACUCCUCUCGUUGGACAAUACGACAGACGAAGAGAGAAAGAGAGAGUCUUUUAAUUAGCCAGCGCGGAGCACAAGUACUCACCAGCAAUAACAGAAAACUAAAUGCACGCGCAUAUAUAGCAUAUGUAUAGGCUUUUUUACGAUCUACAGCUACGAUGGUAUAUCGGAUGUAUUUGAUACGAGUUUCUUCUCAUCUUUCGA